GUAGACGCUUCGCGUCUACUUUAGUCCGUGGGGACCAGUAGAAAUUUUAAAAAUUUUUGUCAGUACUACAAAAAAAAAAUCUCCAAAAUUAUCCAAGGAGUGCCCUAAACACGCAGUGGGGAAGAGACCUGCCGUACCCUCAUAAGGCUCUGAGUUCAAACCUUAGCCUCGGCAUGGUGCUCUACCCAACUUUUUCUUUUUUUAGUACUUGGAAAACAUUAACAUCUAUAAUAAAUCCAAAAAUCUCAUCCAUUAUUCUGUAAGAGACCAACAUACAAAAUUGACGAAACACAAAAUCACGGUCUCACAACAUGUAAUUAAACGGGCUACACGUGUUUCGCUCUAGUUAGAGCAUCAUCAGGCCUUAAGAAGCCAUCCACACACUUAUGCUGUAACUGAUGAUGCUCUAACUAGAGCGAAACACGUGUAGCCCGUUUAAUUACAUGUUGUGAGACCGUGACUUUGUGUUUUUCUUUGUUUUUCGUCAAUCUAUAGUAAAUACAGAGAGAAAAGGAAAGGUCUUAUUAUAUAUUAUAAUCAAAAAUAAAUUUCAUUGAAAUAUUACUAACUUAUUUCUGGGUAUCAUGCUUCAGAGAACCAUGAUGUGUUACAAUACGCUCCGCUCUUUAAUUUUAGUUUAGUAGAAAAUAUUCUCAAAACCUACAUAUAUCAAAAUUAUGUCAGGGUUCUAAAAUGAAUCGGUAAUAAAAUCGUAAACCAGAUCAACAUUGGAAAUAAUUUAAAAAAUUUGCUUUGGUCCGAUUGAAAAAAGUACUAUACUACCAAAUAGUUACAUCUAUUCUGUAGCAAUAAAAGUUAUAAAAUUCUGUCUAUUAUUAAUUUUAAUAUUAUAAAGUGUAUCGUUUAACUCUUAGCCAUUAUUUAUAAUUUAAUUGUUAAUUAUGCCUAAAAAAACGAAUUAACAACUUUGGUAUUGUUUGGAAGGUAAACAGCUUAAUUCCUUUAUGUAAAGCCACCUUAACAUGUUUUUGCAUAAUUCUGACUCACGUUGGUUGCUAUCGGGCUUAAGCCAUAAAAAUCGAAGAAAAAAAGAAGAAGACGAAGAGACUUUCACUUGUCAUUUCAAUGUCACUUUCCGGCCCACAAGCAUAAACGCCACCGGCAACGGAAGUUCCCAAAAUCCAAACAAAUGUUGGAAGAUAUUUUUAAGUCUCCGCAUCUUUCUUACUUUCCUAUAUGAAAAUAAAAUUGGACUACACCAACAAAGGUUAUGUGUUUUGCACCAGAUUGAAAGCAUCAUAGCGAAAAACGGACCUGUCAUAUCUUUAAAUUUUCAAAAGAGCCCCUGGAAAAAGAAAAAUGAAUAUCUUUGCCAAGGAAUAGGUACUAAGGCAAAAUGGUAUGUAAUUGUUGACAAAAAUACAAUGAAUGGCCUCACUACUUUUCCACAUGCAAAGAGGUUAACCAAGGAGAAAUUAAAGAAAUUGUCAAAAACCUAGGUAAAUACAGAAUUGCUUAGUACAAACAUAUCUAUACCCAGUACAAGUUCGUCCACUUCUUUGAAGCAUGGUACUUCAAACAGAAACACUGUCAACAAUUUUGUAGAAGGUGAGCCGGUGUCAAAUUCCAGUAAGGGACAUGAUUUCAAUUUUGCACCAACAGCAGAGCUAAAGUUCAUUUUGCCGCAAAAAACUGGAGGAUGUGAAAGAAAAAAGUGCAGAAGUUAAAAUUAAGUUUUUCAUAUGAGCACAUAAAAAAUAAUCAUGACAAAGUUCAGUUGUAUACAGGUUUGACAUGUAAUAAAUAUUUUUGUAAUCUUAUUAAGUUAAUUAGUUUUAUAUAUUAUUUAAAUAAUAAUUGUAUACUUCACAUAGAAUAUGCAGAAAUUAUAUGUACAUAUAUAAAUUUUUUUAUUAAGAUAAGGACAACAUGUAUUAAAGCAUAACACAUAAUAUAAACACACACGUAAUAUCUUCAUUAAAAAUUAUGAUUGUAUGUUAUGUAGCAUUAGAGCCUAAAAACAUUAAGGAGAAUAAAGGUCGUUAUUGGCAAA
Molecule: long non-coding RNA, 2014 nt
Organism: Anthonomus grandis grandis
Lineage: Eukaryota; Metazoa; Arthropoda; Insecta; Coleoptera; Curculionidae
Exons: 4
Source: RefSeq, a predicted model, not a curated record